AUGAACAAAACGAAAAAGACCCAGAGGAGGUCCAAAAACCUCCACUCACCGAAGAAAAGGUCGAAGAGGCAGCACCGGCGGAAACGACUGAAAAGAAACCUCAACAAGACACGCACGCAGACACAAGCAAAGAAGCAAAGGGCCACAGUGCAUUGGAAAACCAUGCGACAAACAUUCCAGAGAGAGUCAGACAACAACAAGAAAAAGGCUGCACCAUCAGACAAGAAACGUUGUGUUGUAAAAGAUGUUGCCACCACAAACACGACGGUAACCCAGGACAACACUCAAACAGAACGUGAACCGUUGAUCAUACAAAACCUGGCCAUCGAAGAAGGCACAAAAGAUGAAGGGAUCGAACGCCUGGACAACAACGUCAUGACAGCGAAUAAGGACAAAGGGCACGAGAUUUUAAUAAAUACAAAGACCUCAACAGUAACGGUCAGCCACAUGGCACAAAGCUUCGACAUUGGAAAGGCAGUGCGCAGCGAAACCAUGGCAGUCAUGCUACAGAUGUUGAAAAAGCAACUCAGGGGCACAAAGAGAGAGAUUCUAUCAACAUACAACACCGCAUCAAUACGCAUGGCCAACCAUGAAGAUCCAUUGGAAUUGAAACAUAAAGACGAAGCACACGUCAGAGACAAGACAAUUCCUAAAAGGCUUAAAAGAUUCCUUGAUCUGGAAGAAGGAGAGAAACUACAAGAUUUCGACAUGGAACAAGUCCCAGAGUUGAGAAAGAAAAUUCUCUAUCAAAUAAUCAGCCAAUACAGAGAUACGACCGCACUGUCACUAAUCAACUACACCGCAGAUAUGCUGAAAUCUAAGGUCGAUAUGGAAGAUAGUGAAAUGCAACGAAUACAUUGUGACAUAAUUCAACAAGAGAUUCCUCCAACUCCCAAGCACAUUGGAACGAGCGCUCAAGAGAUAAAAGUUAUUGACAUUAGUGACACAAGCAGCGAUGAGGAGAAAGAAGAUUGUCAUGUGAGCAGCAAGGAUACCACCAAGGUGUCUGAAGAAGCACUCAUGGAAGAACAAGCCCAGACAGAUGCUGGUUUACAGAGGGAACAACACGUGCCGCCAGACACUGAUUUACAAAAGGAAGACGAACGGAAAGAUCCACCGAUAGAACCAGACAGACCACCCCCAGAUAAAAACAAUGAAGGCAUAACACGCUCUCCUUUAGAAGUGGAUAACAGGACAAAGAGCGUACCAACUCGCCAACAACAGCUUUCCAAACAGAACAUGAACCCUGUUGGCGAAGAUCGCAUAUCAGGAACAUCACCAGAGGCAGAACAUGCACAAGAGGAAAAGAAGCAGAAAGAGAAGCAUUUAGUAGAAAAGAUACUUCAAAAGAGGAAACGCGAUGCUGAAGUCUCAGUAGAACCGAGCAUCAAAAACAACAACACACAAAAGGACACACCAACACCUGGCAGCUUAACGAGCAGGCGUAGUUAG
Molecule: ribosomal RNA, 1452 nt
Filed under: Triticum aestivum (bread wheat)
Lineage: Eukaryota; Viridiplantae; Streptophyta; Magnoliopsida; Poales; Poaceae
Description: partial small subunit ribosomal RNA
Source: RNAcentral